AGAGUUUGAUCCUGGCUCAGGAUGAACGCUAGCGGCAGGCUUAAUACAUGCAAGUCGAGGGGCAUCAAGGUACACGAAAGUGUAUUGUUGGCGACCGGCGGACGGGUGAGUAAUAGGUAGGUAACCUACCUCAUACUGAGGCAUAGCUGGGAGAAAUUCCAGGUAAUUCCUCAUGAGGUUAUAUGACACAUGUGAUAUAAUCAAAGGUAUCGCAAGGUACUGGUAUGAGAUGGGCUUACUGACCAUUAGCUAGUUGGUGAGAUAAGAGCUCACCAAGGCGAAGAUGGUUAGGGGUUUUGAGAGAGAGAUCCCCCACAUUGGAACUGAGAUACGGUCCAGACUCCUACGGGAGGCAGCAGUAGGGAAUAUUGGGCAAUGGGCGGAAGCCUGACCCAGCCAUGCCGCGUGAAGGAAGACGGCCUUAUGGGUUGUAAACUUCUUUACUAUGCGACUAACUAGAUUUACGAGAUAAUUCUAUAGAAUGUAGCAUAGCAAAAAGCACCGGCUAACUCCGUGCCAGCAGCCGCGGUAAUACGGAGGGUGCGAGCGUUAUUCGGAAUUACUGGGUUUAAAGGGUGCGUAGGCGGCUAAGUAAGUUGUCAUUGAAAGGCUACAGCUCAACUGUAGUAGUGGUGGCGAUACUGCUUAGCUAAGAACAUGGGAGGGGUACUUGGAAUGUGUGGUGUAGCGGUGAAAUGCGUAGAUAUCACACAGAACACCAGAGGCGAAGGCGGAGUACUAGACCAUAGUUGACGCUGAGGCACGAAAGCGUGGGGAUCAAACAGGAUUAGAUACCCUGGUAGUCCACGCCCUAACGAUGAUCACUAGAUAUGGCGACAACAGUCAGUGUCCAAGCGAAAGUGAUAAGUGAUCCACCUGGGGACUACG
Molecule: ribosomal RNA, 888 nt
Filed under: uncultured bacterium
Lineage: Bacteria
Description: bacterial SSU rRNA
Rfam family: Bacterial small subunit ribosomal RNA
Source: RNAcentral